GCGCGUGCUAUACCUGCCGUCGAGCGGACAGAAGGGAGCUUGCUCCGGAUGUAGCGGCGGACGGGUGAGUAACACGUGGGUAACUGCUGUAAGACUGGGAUAACUCCGGGAAACCGGAGCUAAUACCGGAUAGUUCCUUGAACCGCAUGGUUCAAGGAUGAAAGACGGUUUCGGCUGUCACUUACAGAUGGACCGCGGCGCAUAGCUAGUUGGUGGGGUAAUGGCUCACCAAGGCGACGAUGCGUAGCCGACCUGAGAGGGUGAUCGGCCACACUGGGACUGAGACACGGCCCAGACUCCUACGGGAGGCAGCAGUAGGGAAUCUUCCGCAAUGGACGAAAGUCUGACGGAGCAACGCCGCGUGAGUGAUGAAGGUUUUCGGAUCGUAAAGCUCUGUUGUUAGGGAAGAACAAGUGCGAGAGUAACUGCUCGCACCUUGACGGUACCUAACCAGAAAGCCACGGCUAACUACGUGCCAGCAGCCGCGGUAAUACGUAGGUGGCAGCGUUGUCCGGAAUUAUUGGGCGUAAAGGGCUCGCAGGCGGUUUCUUAAGUCUGAUGUGAAAGCCCCCGGCUCAACCGGGGAGGGUCAUUGGAAACUGGGAAACUUGAGUGCAGAAGAGGAGAGUGGAAUUCCACGUGUAGCGGUGAAAUGCGUAGAGAUGUGGAGGAACACCAGUGGCGAAGGCGACUCUCUGGUCUGUAACUGACGCUGAGGAGCGAAAGCGUGGGGAGCGAACAGGAUUAGAUACCCUGGUAGUCCACGCCGUAAACGAUGAGUGCUAAGUGUUAGGGGGUUUCCGCCCCUUAGUGCUGCAGCUAACGCAUUAAGCACUCCGCCUGGGGAGUACGGUCGCAAGACUGAAACUCAAAGGAAUUGACGGGGGCCCGCACAAGCGGUGGAGCAUGUGGUUUAAUUCGAAGCAACGCGAAGAACCUUACCAGGUCUUGACAUCCUCUGACAACCCUAGAGAUAGGGCUUUCCCUUCGGGGACAGAGUGACAGGU
RNAcentral lists this ribosomal RNA (1007 nucleotides) under Bacillus pumilus. Its description in RNAcentral is "bacterial SSU rRNA". It matches the Rfam family "Bacterial small subunit ribosomal RNA", at positions 42 to 1039 of the family's 1533-position model. Lineage: Bacteria; Bacillati; Bacillota; Bacilli; Caryophanales; Bacillaceae. The record is from RNAcentral.